GUUACUGAGGAAUUUCUUUCUGUAGAUCACAACCAUCCCUAUCCGAAGAAUUGACAGAAGACGAAGUAGAACCUUCGAAACGGGCGCGAGGGGGAGAAAAUGAUGCAGGAUGUUCUGACGAGAGGUCUGUUGCAGCUAAUAAGCCGUGUCCAGGUAUUUUUUUUUUUAGUAAUAAUUAAAAUCAGAAUCAGUAUAAGCAUAAAAAA
Molecule: long non-coding RNA, 206 nt
Organism: Nematostella vectensis (starlet sea anemone)
Lineage: Eukaryota; Metazoa; Cnidaria; Anthozoa; Actiniaria; Edwardsiidae
Exons: 2
Source: RefSeq, a predicted model, not a curated record